GCAGGACAUCUGGUAUGUUAUUGACCUCCUGACCGGGGAGAAGCAGCAGACUUUGUCAUCGGCCUUUGCAGAUAGUCUCUGCCCAUCAACCUCUCUUCUGUAUCUUGGGCGAACAGAAUACACCAUCACCAUGUAUGACACCAAAACCCGAGAGCUCCGGUGGAAUGCCACCUACUUUGACUAUGCGGCCUCGCUGCCUGAGGACGACGUGGACUACAGUAAGUGCUCUCUGCUGGAUUUCACAAGCUUGGGCCAGUACUUUUGACCUAUGUGGAAACAGUUGCUCCAAAAAGUAGGAUUUUCUUUUAAGAUACUCUUUGUCACCAGGUUCUUUCUUUCCAUGGACUUUUCAUGGGCUUAUUGUAAAUACUUCCCACAGUCAAUGUGCAGGGGCCUUGGUGAAGUCUGAAGGGAAACCGAAGUAAAAUGGUGACAAGCUUAGCCAGAGAGGAAGGAGGACAUCCCUCGUUGAGUCUUCUAUGUCACAGAAGGAAUUUACUGCAAGCCCAUGGAAAGUAGAAGUAAAAUCAGCAUAGGACGUUAACAA
Molecule: small RNA, 547 nt
Filed under: Pongo abelii (Sumatran orangutan)
Lineage: Eukaryota; Metazoa; Chordata; Mammalia; Primates; Hominidae
Description: retained intron
Source: RNAcentral